This 1186-nucleotide unclassified non-coding RNA is filed under the name Hevea brasiliensis (rubber tree). Lineage: Eukaryota; Viridiplantae; Streptophyta; Magnoliopsida; Malpighiales; Euphorbiaceae. The record is from RNAcentral.
AUAAAACGUUGGUUGACCGAUGGAUGCUGCUGAAGAUGCAGGAUGCUGAGCGCCUUAACGAGGCUAAUGCUCUCUAUGGAGACAUGCUUGAUAAGGUCAAGGCCGCCAGUAUAGAAAAACUUGCUCGUCAACAAGUGGACGGCGUGGUCCGCCAAAGUGAAGAUGGUGCAGAAUUUUACGUAGAAUCUUCCAUCCCUAGUACAUGCAAGCAAAGGAUCCCCGCCCAUGAUGGUGGUUGUGCCUCGAUUGUUUUUGAGUAUAACUCAAGUAAAUUGAUAAGCGGAGGUCAGGAUCGAGCAAUUAAAAUGUGGGAUACCACAAGCGGAUCAUUAACCAACAGUCUUUAUGGUUGUCUGGGUUCUGUUCUUGAUCUUUCCGUUACACAUGAUAACAAAUUCAUCAUAGCAGCAAGUAGUUCAAAUAAUUUGUAUGUGUGGGAUGCAAAUUCAGGCAGGAUACGGCACACUCUUACUGGGCACAUGGACAAGGUUUGUGCAGUUGAUGUAAGCAAAUUUUCAAGUCGCCAUGUGGUGAGUGCUGCAUAUGAUCGCACAAUAAAAGUUUGGGAUCUGCAGAAGGGUUACUGUAACAACACUAUCAUAUUUCACAGUAACUGUAACAGUCUUGCGUUUAGCAUGGAUGCCCUGACUAUCUGUUCUGGUCAUGUUGAUGGUAAUCUUAGAUUAUGGGAUGUUCAAACAGGCAAGCUUCUGAGUGAAGUUGCUGCACAUUCACAGGCUGUUACAUCAGUUUCACUCUCUCGGAAUGGAAACAUGAUAUUAACCAGUGGGAGAGACAACUUGCACAAUCUAUUCGAUAUACGCACCCUUGAAAUUUGUGGCACUUUCAGAUCAAAUGCAAAUCGAGUUGCAUCUAAUUGGAGCCGAUCCUGUAUUAGUGCCGAUGACGGUUAUGUUACUGCAGGUUCUGUUGAUGGAUCUGUUCAUAUUUGGUCAGUAUCAAACGGUAAAAUGGUAAGCACAUUGAAAGAACACACAUCCUCUGUACUUUGUUGUUCAUGGAGUGGUCUUGGUAAUCCUUUGGCCACCUCAGAUAAGAGUGGAACCGUAUGUAUUUGGUCAUGAUAUCAGUUCAAAGAUUGCUCUGUAAUUCAGAUUUCAGUGAGGAUCAUGAGUGUCAUUGUUGAUUUUAGUUUGCUUAAAGCAUAAAGUUGGUCAUCAUAUUG